Molecule: ribosomal RNA, 253 nt
Filed under: uncultured prokaryote
Description: partial 16S ribosomal RNA
Rfam family: Bacterial small subunit ribosomal RNA
Source: RNAcentral
UACAGAGGUCUCAAGCGUUGUUCGGAAUUAUUGGGCGUAAAGCGCUUGUAGGCGGCACGUCAAGUCGCGUGUGAAAUCCCCAGGCUUAACCUGGGAAGUGCGCGCGAAACUGACGAGCUUGAGUGCCGGAGAGGGUCGCGGAAUUCCCGGUGUAGAGGUGAAAUUCGUAGAUAUCGGGAGGAACACCAGUGGCGAAGGCGGCGACCUGGACGGACACUGACGCUGAGACGCGAAAGCGUGGGGAGCAAACAGG